AAGAAAUCUAAAAGUGCAUUAGUCGAGGAACAUUCAGGCAAGGCUAACUUUAGGAGCCUGGUAACCUCACUCGAUUCACCAAUUUGUAUGAUGUGGUUCUGUUGGCUUCAUCAAGCCGUGAUCUCCAACUCCCACUGGAGCGGUUCGCAGCCGAGUGUGAAGCGGCUGGGAAGAGAAUCAGCACCUCCGAAUCUGAGACCGUGGUCCUCAGUCGGAAAAGGGUGGCGUUCCCUCUCCGGGUCGGGGGUGAGAUCCUGCCCCAAGUGGAAGAGUUCAAGUAUCUUGGGGUCUUGUUCACGAGUGAGGGAAGAAUCGAACGGGAGAUCGGCAGGCUGAUCGGUGCAGCCCCGGGGGCGACCCAGGACACGCUGGAGAAACUACGUCUCUCGGCUAGCCUGGGAACGCCUCGGGAUCCCCCCGGAAGAGCUGGAUGAAGUGGCUGGGGAGAGGGAAGUCUGGGCGUCCCUGCUAAAGCUACUGCCCACGUGACCUGACCUCGGAUAAGCGCACCGAAAUCCGAUUUCCUGCGGCGGCGCCGGCCUCACCGUGAUGACGUCCCCCGCCUGGCAGUCGACGUCGACGCUAUCAUACUCCACGCUGACGACCUCGUCGGGCUCGGCCGCGAAGAAGGCGGCGCAGUUGAGCUGGGGACGCUCGGCCGUGAAGUGGUCGUCGGUACAGGAUCAGGUCCUGGUCUGUCUCCCUGCGCAGCUCUGAGUUGAAGAAGGAGUAUAAUUCAUCCUUUAGGACGUCAUUAUCCUGCACGGUAGAGGAGAGGAGAAUGUUCGCCUGACGGUGAUGAGGAUGUCGGUGAGUGAAGACCGUCCUACCUCGAUAUAUCUGCAGUCUCCCUUCAGGACACACAAGCUCAAGACCAAGAAGAGGCGUUGCCGCAAAGUGCGCUCCAUCGUCAUCGUGGUCGUCGCAUCGUCGGAGCCUCCGUGGGGCCGCCGCCGCCUUUUAUAAGUUCUGCCAGGACCACCUGCCAGCUGCCCCGAGCCCCAUUACCAAGUGAUUGCGCACUUGUGACGAGGGCGAGGAUGGUGACAGUGAGGAAAGGGAGGGGGAGGGGGGGGGGGGGGGCGGGGUGUCAACACCGAGGGUGG
Molecule: long non-coding RNA, 1106 nt
Organism: Phycodurus eques (leafy seadragon)
Lineage: Eukaryota; Metazoa; Chordata; Actinopteri; Syngnathiformes; Syngnathidae
Exons: 4
Source: RefSeq, a predicted model, not a curated record